AGAGUUUGAUCCUGGCUCAGGAUAAACGCUGGCGGCGUGCCUAAUACAUGCAAGUCGAUCGAUAGAAGUCCAGCUUGCUGGACGGAAAUAGAGGCGAACGGGUGAGUAAUACGUAAGCAACCUGCCCACGAAGACCGGGAUAAUCCCUGGAAACGGGGACUAAGACCGGAUAGGUACACAGACCGCAUGAUCUGUGUAUUAAAGGUGAGAGACACUGGUGGAUGGGCUUACGGUGCAUUAGCUGGAUGGUGAGGUAACGGCCCACCAUGGCGAUGAUGCAUAGCCGGGCUGAGAGGCUGAACGGCCACAUUGGGACUGAGACACGGCCCAGACUCCUACGGGAGGCAGCAGUAGGGAAUUUUCGGCAAUGGGGGCAACCCUGACCGAGCAACGCCGCGUGAGUGAUGAAGGUCUUCGGAUUGUAAAGCUCUGUUGUAAGGGAAGAACGGCAUCUAGAGAAUAGGUGAGUGACGGUACCUUACCAGAAAGCUACGGCUAACUACGUGCCAGCAGCCGCGGUAAUACGUAGGUAGCGAGCGUUAUCCGGAAUUAUUGGGCGUAAAGGGUGCGUAGGCGGCCUGUUAAGUUUAUGGUGAAAGCGUGGGGCUCAACCCCAUAAAGCCAUAGAUACUGGCAGGCUAGAGUACUGGAGAGGGUAGUGGAAUUCCAUGUGUAGCGGUAAAAUGCGUAGAUAUAUGGAGGAACACCGGUGGCGAAGGCGGCUACCUAGACAGAGACUGACGCUGAGGCACGAAAGCGUGGGGAGCAAAUAGGAUUAGAUACCCUAGUAGUCCACGCUGUAAACGAUGAAUGCUAGGUAUCGGGGCGACCCGGUGCCGAAACUAACGCGAUAAGCAUUCCGCCUGUGGAGUAUGCACGCAAGUGUGAAACAUAAAGGAAUUGACGGGGGCCCGCACAAGCGGUGGAGUAUGU
RNAcentral lists this ribosomal RNA (933 nucleotides) under human gut metagenome. RNAcentral describes it as "bacterial SSU rRNA". It matches the Rfam family "Bacterial small subunit ribosomal RNA", at positions 8 to 942 of the family's 1533-position model. The record is from RNAcentral.